CGCCUCCUACGGGGGGCAGCAGUAGGGAAUUUUCGUCAAUGGGGGGAACCCUGAACGAGCAAUGCCGCGUGAGUGAAGAAGGCCUUCGGGUCGUAAAGCUCUGUUGUAAGAGAAAAACGAUGGAUAGAGGGAAUGAUAUGCAAGUGAUGGUAUCUUACGAGAAAGCCACGGCUAACUACGUGCCAGCAGCCGCGGUAAUACGUAGGUGGCAAGCGUUAUCCGGAUUUAUUGGGCGUAAAGCGAGCGCAGGCGGUCGCUUAGGUCUGA
RNAcentral lists this ribosomal RNA (267 nucleotides) under uncultured bacterium. RNAcentral describes it as "partial 16S ribosomal RNA". It matches the Rfam family "Bacterial small subunit ribosomal RNA", at positions 333 to 592 of the family's 1533-position model. The record is from RNAcentral.